Molecule: ribosomal RNA, 254 nt
Filed under: uncultured bacterium
Lineage: Bacteria
Description: partial 16S ribosomal RNA
Rfam family: Bacterial small subunit ribosomal RNA
Source: RNAcentral
UACGUAGGGAGCAAGCGUUGUUCGGAUUUACUGGGCGUAAAGGGCGCGUAGGCGGCAAUUCAAGUCAUCUGUGAAAUCUCCGGGCUUAACUCGGAACGGUCAGAUGAUACUGCUUUGCUAGAGUGCGGAAGGGGCAAUCGGAAUUCUCGGUGUAGCGGUGAAAUGCGUAGAUAUCGAGAGGAACACCAGAGGUGAAGACGGGUUGCUGGGCCGACACUGACGCUGACAGCGCGAAAGCCAGGGGAGCAAACGGG